Molecule: long non-coding RNA, 3089 nt
Filed under: Solanum tuberosum (potato)
Lineage: Eukaryota; Viridiplantae; Streptophyta; Magnoliopsida; Solanales; Solanaceae
Description: long non-coding RNA (STUB_LNC008375)
Source: RNAcentral
UAGUUUAUAACCGAAUUCAUUAUUUAUUUCGUUAACAUUAAGAAGCUCGUUAAUUAAUUUAUAUCAAUUCAUCUUAUUUAGUUUUAGCCAAAUUCACCAAUUAAACUCAAUUUGGCUAACUUCUUAAUUCACAUUUGCCAUAAUUAUAAUUCUUAUGGCCAUUUUUUGCAUGACCAAGUAUUGGGCCAUUUUUCUUCUUCACUCAAUUAGUUCCAUCAGCCCAAUGAUCAGCUCCUCCUAAAAUAACCCAGGCCCAACACUCUUAUAACAAAACUGCCAACCCAUAUAAUAAUACAUACAACAAACAACGGUACUAGCCGACCCACUGUUGACAUCUUCUCCUUCACGCAAAAAACAAGCAGAAAUCCAGCAACGUGAUAACCAGAAACGAGCCAGCAACCCAGACCCGGUCUAGCAGUAGCAACAGCGUGCACGACACGCAUGAACGACCCUGAACGCGCUUCGUCUCCUUCACGCGAGGGCGAGUUCACGCAAUCGACAGCUCCCUCAGCCCUGCUCUGCAACAACCGCCCAUUUUGAUCUUUUCCAUCCGGAUUUUAGGGGGUUUUGGUUGAAUUUCCAUACAACAACAGCUUUUCCUUACCUUUGGAGGAAAAAUUUGAAUUGAUUUGGUUGGGGAAUUCCGAUUUUGCCCCAAGUUCCUAUCCGUUUUCUUCCCCAAAUCUGCCCUAAUUUCCUGGCUAUAUAUAUUCUCUAUUAUUCACUGUAAAUGGGGGGAAAAAAUUUGAAAACAAAAAAAAAAAGUUGGGAGAAGGUUGGCAAGAAACAGAAGGAAAAUCAAAGAGAAAUAGCUCAAGAGUCGGAGACAACAAUUAUAUUUAUAUAUAGAAAAUACAUAUAGAAUUAGUUAUAGAUAUAUUAUAAGGACUUGGAGUCUAGAUCUUUGGAGUUUUUCUUUUCUCGUCUUUGGCUAACUGAAGCUGGUCGGAACCUAACUCGUGGUGAAAAGCUUUCGCUCAGCUCGUUUGUCUCAGUUUCUGCUUGACAAGAGGUAAACUCUUCUUCUUUUGUGAUGAUCUUCUUUAUCUUUUAUUUUUCGUGUUAACAUUUCUAGCGUGAUGAAACUUUCUUUUGAUUUGAGAAUUAUAGCAGUUGUUUGUGUUUGUUUCUUUUUAUUUAUUUAUUAUUAUUUUUUUUUUAUUUUUUUUAAAGGUUCCAUAGGUCUGGUCUAAAUGGUUUCAAAAUUGGGUUGUGAGAGUAGUAUAAGGCUGUUAUUUUAUCUCUUGUCAUCUUAUAUCAAGUUUUGUCUAUUCAUUCGUUUGGUUUCAAAUAUCUGAUUUUAGUUCAAUUUGAAAGCUAUAGCCUAAAUCUUUCCUGCCUCUUAAGUUAUGGAAAUCCGAGUUAUUCUAGUUGCGAAUCUGCCUGAAGAAUGCAAGUUUGUUUAUAUCGUUAAUCUCGAUUCGUGCAAAUAUGAUUUCGUAGAAUAUGUGGCUUUAAUUUAUGUCGGUCAUUGCCUCCAAUUCAUCCCUUGAAUGCUCUGGUCGUCUGGUAGGUUGACUUUGAUGAAAUUUCAUGGCUUAGUUGCAAGUUUGCCUGUUGAUGCUACUGCUUUUAGAAGAGUUAAUUCGGUUAAAAUGAUGUACCAUGGUCUAGGUAGUUAUGAUGGAUCACAUGCUUGAAAAUGUCUCUGUGUUGGAUACAUAUUCAUUUGAAAACGUUAUUUUUAUUGGGCUGCCAUCAAACCUCUUCUGUUAUUGCAACUCUAGUUACUAACAUAUUUUACUUUAUUUUAGUCUUAAAAAAUGGCUUAGUUCCCUUCCUAGCAUGUAUGCUCUUCCUCGAAAUCUUUUUUUUCUUUAGUGCACAGUGUUCAAAGUUGAACAAUAUAUCCAGUAGCUUUGUCCAUGUUUGAUUUUGUUUCAUUCCUCCUUGUUUAAGCUUAUUUUGUUAUAAUAAAGUUAGUAAUUAUUAGUUAUGUUACCUUCAUUAUUCUUCAUCUUGGAUGUACCUAAUUGUCAUUAUUCUAUAUUAACAUUUUGAUUAGCAUUAGCUUUGAAUAGGGGGGGGGGGGGGGUUCUUUUUAGUAAUUAUUAGUUAUGUUGCCUUCAUUAUUCUUCAUCUUGAAUCUACCUAAUUGUCAUUGUUCCAUAUUAACAUUUUGAUUAGCAUUAGCUUUAAAUAGGGGGCUGCUCAUUUUUCUUGCAUUUUAUUUCAUAGAUUCUAGUUCUUUAUGUGGAAUUUAUCUUGUCUAAAUCCUCUAUGAUUGAGUGGUUAUGCAUAAAUGAGAUUUUGUUCCCUAUUUUGCCUUUUGACGGAAAGUUUUCUUUGCCCAUGGUUUAUGUGAUUUGCAUAUAUUAUGUAGAUUUAAGAUCUUGGUUGCUUGCAUGUUAAAGCCUCAUAUUUAGUAGGUUAAGGUGGAAUGGCUAUAUUUCUUUGAACUAUUGUUGAGAAUAUAUUUUGUGUCCAAUUGGGUAUUAAAAUCACUUAUAAUAAUUCUUUUAUCUUAGUUCUUAGUCAAUUAUUUAGCUUGCCUUGAAGGAGCUCUUUGUAAUAUUCAAAUGGGUUUUCCUAAUAUGUAUUGUUCAAGUGUGAUUCAUGCUCGAUUGAUUAAGUGAGCAUUCAUCUAGAGUUAGUUGGAUUGCUUUUCUUUUAUUGUCAAAUAGAGAAUGUGGUCAAUAGAAAUAUCACUGUGUGUAUAUACAUAUAUUAUAUAAUAUUAUUAUUAUUAUUUUAUUUUAUUUUUGCUUUUUGUAAAGUCACUAAUGCUCAUUAUUUAUAUUUCUUUGCAUGAAUGGCCUCUUGGGAUGAGCCCGACCACCCCAUUUUCCUCGCAUUCUCUCUGUUGGGCUUCAACCCAACAGUUCGAGUCAACCUUCGGUGAAAUACAGGUGUUCGGAAGCAAGAUAUACACGAAAAACACCUAUGAUAUACAUCAGAUAUAUACAAAAACGGGAUUAGAUUAAAGCAAAAAAAAAUAAUCAGCGAAAUUGGCCCAAAAGGAGGCCCAAAUUCAUUUCUACCUUACUCUUUAAUUAUUUAAUUGUGAUUAUUUAUUGUUCGUUGUUUAACUCUAACUUUAGAAUUUUUAAUUAACUUAAUUAGAUCCCCCAAAAGACGAGCUAUUUCUA